GCCAGCGAAGAAAACGGCCCUGGGGAGCAGACAAUGAGCCACCGCCCCAGGAGCUGCGGCUCCCAGCACGCAGGUGGCGGCUCCCCGGCCCCGCGCGGGGCAGGUCGGCCGUCCCGGGCCGCUCCCGCCCGCCAGGCCACGGAGAAGGAAGGAGGAGGAAGAGACCCGGCCUGCGUCCCGCGCCGGCCGGCCUGUGUGCACUUACCCCGGGCAAGGUCUCUGCCGACGGAAGACGCUGACAGACGAUUGCUGUUAUACACAUCUGCUCCGCGACAUUUGUUUCUGGGAAUUCAUCCG
RNAcentral lists this long non-coding RNA (297 nucleotides) under Homo sapiens (human). Its description in RNAcentral is "HSALNT0067429". Lineage: Eukaryota; Metazoa; Chordata; Mammalia; Primates; Hominidae. The record is from RNAcentral.